This 1229-nucleotide ribosomal RNA is filed under the name metagenome. RNAcentral's name for it is "bacterial SSU rRNA". It matches the Rfam family "Bacterial small subunit ribosomal RNA", at positions 8 to 1258 of the family's 1533-position model. The record is from RNAcentral.
AGAGUUUGAUCCUGGCUCAGGACGAACGCUGGCGGCGCGCCUAACACAUGCAAGUCGAACGAGCGAGAGAGAGCUUGCUUUCUCGAGCGAGUGGCGAACGGGUGAGUAACGCGUGAGGAACCUGCCUCAAAGAGGGGGACAACAGUUGGAAACGACUGCUAGUACCGCAUAAGCCCACGGGUCGGCAUCGACCAGAGGGAAAAGGAGCAAUCCGCUUUGAGAUGGCCUCGCGUCCGAUUAGCUGGUUGGUGAGGUAACGGCCCACCAAGGCGACGAUCGGUAGCCGGACUGAGAGGUUGAACGGCCACAUUGGGACUGAGACACGGCCCAGACUCCUACGGGAGGCAGCAGUGGGGAAUAUUGCACAAUGGGGGAAACCCUGAUGCAGCGACGCCGCGUGGAGGAAGAAGGUCUUCGGAUUGUAAACUCCUGUUGUUGGGGAAGAUAAUGACGGUACCCAACAAGGAAGUGACGGCUAACUACGUGCCAGCAGCCGCGGUAAAACGUAGGUCACAAGCGUUGUCCGGAAUUACUGGGUGUAAAGGGAGCGCAGGCGGGAAGACAAGUUGGAAGUGAAAUCCAUGGGCUCAACCCAUGAACUGCUUUCAAAACUGUUUUUCUUGAGUAGUGCAGAGGUAGGCGGAAUUCCCGGUGUAGCGGUGGAAUGCGUAGAUAUCGGGAGGAACACCAGUGGCGAAGGCGGCCUACUGGGCACCAACUGACGCUGAGGCUCGAAAGUGUGGGUAGCAAACAGGAUUAGAUACCCUGGUAGUCCACACCGUAAACGAUGAUUACUAGGUGUUGGAGGAUUGACCCCUUCAGUGCCGCAGUUAACACAAUAAGUAAUCCACCUGGGGAGUACGACCGCAAGGUUGAAACUCAAAGGAAUUGACGGGGGCCCGCACAAGCAGUGGAGUAUGUGGUUUAAUUCGACGCAACGCGAAGAACCUUACCAAGUCUUGACAUCCGUUGACCGACAUAGAAAUAUGUUUUUCCUUCGGGACAGCGAGACAGGUGGUGCAUGGUUGUCGUCAGCUCGUGUCGUGAGAUGUUGGGUUAAGUCCCGCAACGAGCGCAACCCUUAUGGUCAGUUACUACGCAAGAGGACUCUGGCCAGACUGCCGUUGACAAAACGGAGGAAGGUGGGGAUGACGUCAAAUCAUCAUGCCCUUUAUGACUUGGGCUACACACGUACUACAAUGGCGUUAAACAAAGAGAAGCAAGACCGC